UACGAAGGGGGCUAGCGUUGCUCGGAAUCAUUGGGCGUAAAGCGCACGUAGGCGGCUUGCUAAGUCAGGGGUGAAAUCCUGGAGCUCAACUCCAGAACUGCCCUUGAUACUGGCGGUCUCGAGUCCGGGAGAGGUGAGUGGAACUGCGAGUGUAGAGGUGAAAUUCGUAGAUAUUCGCAAGAACACCAGUGGCGAAGGCGGCUCACUGGCCCGGUACUGACGCUGAGGUGCGAAAGCGUGGGGAGCAAACAGG
RNAcentral lists this ribosomal RNA (253 nucleotides) under uncultured bacterium. Its description in RNAcentral is "partial 16S ribosomal RNA". It matches the Rfam family "Bacterial small subunit ribosomal RNA", at positions 524 to 776 of the family's 1533-position model. The record is from RNAcentral.